GAACGGCGGCCAUCCUCGUCGAGGACGCACGGUGUGGCGACCUGUGCGCCAGCCUCGUGGACGACGUGCUCGUCCCGGGUUCGGACGGCCAAUGCCGUCGCGCCGGAGUCGUCAGUGCAAGGCCGGCGUCGGGCACGCGCAAGGUACGCACGCUGGGCAUGCAUUCUUCAGGUCGCGCGGAGAGUUUGCAGGUCUUGGAUCGCGGCCGUGACAGCUCAUGGGUCUUGAACUCUCGAUGAAUGUACGCAGGCUUGUUACGCAGCGGCAGGGUUCGUCGCCGUCGGUUGCCUCUGCUCUUACCUGUCCUGGAGGUGCCACACGAGCAAACACUAGAUCUUUGUUCCUCUAUCUUUUGUUUAUUAUUGUUUUUUUUAGAAUCAUCUUUUGUUGAUUGGUUUGGGAGGGCUUGCCGCUCGAUAGAUUUUUUUUCAUGAUAAUACGUGUCUCAUUCAUAAUAUAAAGAUCAAAAUACAAGUCACGAUUGACA
This 487-nucleotide long non-coding RNA is filed under the name Triticum aestivum (bread wheat). RNAcentral's name for it is "long non-coding RNA (TAES_LNC011446)". The record is from RNAcentral. Lineage: Eukaryota; Viridiplantae; Streptophyta; Magnoliopsida; Poales; Poaceae.